GAGUGUGUAGCUCAGUGGUAGAGCGCAUGCUUAGCAUGCAGAAGGUCCUGGGCUCAAUCCCCAGUACCUCCA
Molecule: transfer RNA, 72 nt
Filed under: Camelus bactrianus (Bactrian camel)
Lineage: Eukaryota; Metazoa; Chordata; Mammalia; Artiodactyla; Camelidae
Also listed under: 3 other names
Rfam family: tRNA
About the family: Transfer RNA (tRNA) molecules are approximately 80 nucleotides in length. Their secondary structure includes four short double-helical elements and three loops (D, anti-codon, and T loops).
Source: Rfam by way of RNAcentral